Non-coding RNA from Aspergillus niger ATCC 1015, 150 nucleotides. Lineage: Eukaryota; Fungi; Ascomycota; Eurotiomycetes; Eurotiales; Aspergillaceae. The record is from Rfam.
CAACCUACACCUAUAUGAUGAGAAUUUUUUUCAUGAACCGGUAUAUUAGGAAGAGCCGGAAGAGGAAUGGCAGGGACCCCUCUAAAAUAAAAAAGAAGGGUGUUCACUGUCGUCGAUGCUUAUAAUGGUUCUGCUGAGUGGUGUUUAAAA